Scomber japonicus (chub mackerel) is the source of this 1209-nucleotide long non-coding RNA. RefSeq lists it as uncharacterized. Lineage: Eukaryota; Metazoa; Chordata; Actinopteri; Scombriformes; Scombridae. The record is from RefSeq and is a predicted model, not a curated record. The transcript has 4 exons.
ACCACCUUCGGACUGAGGUUUACUAUCCCGUUCUAUCAUUCUUUCUACAUUCUCUGGAAUUCAUUCAUCCAUUUAAAGUGUUAAGUGAUAUUCUGGGUGACAAGAAUAUGGAGCAAGCACUUAUUCUUCUUGUGAUGUUGACUGGACUAACGCAUGCUUUCCUUACACCUGCUGAGACUAAAUGUAAUGCCACAAAGAAUGCAACUCUGUGCUCUGCUACACUUGGACAGCCUGUGUAUAUCCAAAUGAUGAUGACCAAUAUAUCUCAACUGCACUUUAAGAAAGGAUCAGUAAAAGUGUUCAGUCUGAAAAACAGAAAGGUGAAUAUAUAUAAAGAUUUUCAAAACAGAACUGAAGUUUUUAUCAGCAACGGGACGUUCAAGAUCAACAGCAUGGAGAGGAGUGAUGUAGGUCAAUACAUCAUAGAGGGCUUUGAUGAAAAUGGGCACGGGGUGUUAAACCUUCAUGUGAAACUGGAUGUUCAAGGCAACAAGUUGCUCAUCUGGAUUGUAGUCGGUUCAGUUGUGGGUGUCAUACUGGUAGUGAUAUUGGUGAUUGCUGUACGGCGGUUUUGCUGUGGUAACAAGAAAAGUGGGCAUCACUACAAGCCAAAGGACUCUUCACCACAGACUGCAUUAUAAACAUAACUGCUCAUAUAAAUAACGUCAAAGAGAAGCCUUCAGGAUGAUUUUUAACUGAGAAUGACUAUCACCACGGACUGAACUAAAGACUACAAGACACAAGAGAGAACAUAACUUUAAGCUUUAAUAGAAAAGACUGAAAUGUUGCUUUGCUGGAAUGUUGAUAUAUCGCAUGUUAAUUUAAUUUUAGUAGCAGCAGCUUUAUUUUUGAGGUAACAUCAGAAUAAAAUUGAAAAAAAAAAUAAUUUUUGAUCUGCAAACUAUUGUAAUAGACUGAUGCUCAUAAUUGACAUAAUAUAUAAAUGAUAGAAAUGGGACUUAAAUAUUAGUGCUGAAACCCAGAGACCAAAAAUGAAUCACUGAUGUGCGAUUAGUUGUAAUGUUUAUUAAAAGAGUUUUAAAUAUGAGAUUGUGAAUGGAGUUUUCACAUAAUGCGAAGAUGAUGCUGUAAAUGUAACACUGCAGAGUCCGUCUGAUAGUAAGAGUGAGAUGGGAUAAAUAAUAACUUAGAUUCAGUUUCUGUCUAGUGUUGGACUGAAAAUCAUACAGCCUAAAGUCUACAAGUCAA